This 1325-nucleotide ribosomal RNA is filed under the name metagenome. Its description in RNAcentral is "bacterial LSU rRNA". It matches the Rfam family "Bacterial large subunit ribosomal RNA", at positions 1561 to 2925 of the family's 2925-position model. The record is from RNAcentral.
AGUGGAUGGGGAGCAACCUAGUUGUGCGUGUGUAAAGGUAGUGCCAAGAAAAGCGAUGAUCAUGUUGAAAAUCAAUUCCCGGUACCCGAAACCGACACAGGUGGGCAAGUAGAGAAUACUAAGGGGCGCGAGGUAACUCUCUCCAAGGAACUCGGCAAAAUGACCCCGUAACUUAGGGAGAAGGGGUGCCACCGAGAGGUGGUCGCAGUGAAGAGGCCCAGGCGACUGUUUAGCAAAAACAUAGGUCUCUGCAAACUCGAAAGAGGAGGUAUAGGGGCUGACGCCUGCCCAGUGCCGGAAGGUUAAAGAAGUUGGUCAGUCUUAGGAUGAAGCUAGCGACUGAAGCCCCGGUGAACGGCGGCCGUAACUAUAACGGUCCUAAGGUAGCGAAAUUCCUUGUCGGGUAAGUUCCGACCCGCACGAAAGGCGAAACGAUCUGGGCGCUGUCUCGGAGAGAGGCUCGGCGAAAUAGGAUUGUCUGUGAAGAUACGGACUGCCUGCAUUUGGACAGAAAGACCCUAUGAAGCUUUACUAUAUCUUGGAAUUGUGUUCGGGCUUCCUGUGCGCAGGAUAGGUGGGAGGCGAAGAAGGUAUUCUUGUGGGGAUACUGGAGCCAACGGUGAGAUACCACUCUCAGGAGGCUAGAAUUCUAACUUAAUUAAGGACAGUUUCAGGUGGGUAGUUUGACUGGGGCGGUCGCCUCCAAAAAGGUAACGGAGGCGUACAAAGGUUCCCUCAGACUGGUUGGAAAUCAGUCGAAGAGUGCAAAGGCAGAAGGGAGCUUGACUGCGAGAAGUACAGUUCGAGCAGGGUGGAAACACGGUCUUAGUGAUCCGACGGUGCUGUGUGGAAGGGCCGUCGUUCAACGGAUAAAAGUUACUCUAGGAUAACAGGCUGAUCUCCCCCAAGAGUUCACAUCGACGGGGAGGUUUGGCACCUCGAUGUCGGCUCAUCGCAACCUGGGGCGGAAGUACGUCCCAAGGGUUGGGCUGUUCGCCCAUUAAAGCGGUACGUGAGCUGGGUUCAGAACGUCGUGAGACAGUUCGGUCCAUAUCCGAUGUAGGCGUGAGAAUAUUGAGAGGGGCCUUCCUUAGUACGAGAGGACCGGGAAGGACGCACCGCUGGUGUACCUGUUAUGAUGCCAAUUGUAAACGCAGGGUAGCCAAGUGCGGAGAGGAUAACCGCUGAAAGCAUCUAAGUGGGAAGCCCACCUCAAGAUGAGUAUUCUGGUGUAAGGUCACGGGAAGACGACCCGUAAAUAGGCACGAGGUGGAAGUGCAGAGAUGUAUGAAGCCGAAGUGUACUAAUAGACCGUCGGCUUGAUC